Molecule: ribosomal RNA, 403 nt
Filed under: uncultured bacterium
Lineage: Bacteria
Description: bacterial SSU rRNA
Rfam family: Bacterial small subunit ribosomal RNA
Source: RNAcentral
UAGGGAAUAUUAGUAAUGGGCGCAAGCCUGAACUAGCAACGCCGCGUGUGCGAAAAAGGCCUUCGGGUUGUAAAGCACUUUUUGAGAGGAUGAGGAAGGACGGUACUCUCAGAAUAAGUCUCGGCUAACUACGUGCCAGCAGCCGCGGUAACACGUAGGAGGCGAACGUUAUCCGGAUUUACUGGGCGUAAAGCGCGUGUAGGUGGUUUGGUAAGUAGGGCGUGAAAGCUCCUGGCUCAACUGGGAGAGGCCGUUCUAAACUGCCGAACUAGAGGAUGGUAGAGGGAGGUGGAAUUCCGGGUGUAGCGGUGGAAUGCGCAGAUAUCCGGAGGAACACCAGUGGCGAAAGCGGCCUCCUGGGCCACUCCUGACACUCAGACGCGAAAGCUAGGGUAGCAAACGG